Molecule: unclassified non-coding RNA, 235 nt
Filed under: Leotiomycetes sp.
Lineage: Eukaryota; Fungi; Ascomycota; Leotiomycetes
Description: partial contains small subunit ribosomal RNA, internal transcribed spacer 1, and 5.8S ribosomal RNA
Rfam family: Eukaryotic small subunit ribosomal RNA (bases 1-46)
Source: RNAcentral
AAGUCGUAACAAGGUUUCCGUAGGUGAACCUGCGGAAGGAUCAUUACAGAGAACUUGCCCUUCGGGGUAGAUCUCCCACCCUUUGUUAACAUUACCACAGUUGCUUUGGCAGGCCAGACGUUUGUCUACCGGCUUAGGCUGGACAGUGCCUGCCAGAGGACCUAAACUCUUAAUUUGAUGUCGUCUGAGUAACAUAUAAUAGUUAAAACUUUCAACAACGGAUCUCUUGGUUCUG